AAGGAUUUAGGUUAAUAAAACCUUUAACCUUCAAAGUUAAUAAUAGAUUUUUAAAUAUCUAAGCCUUA
Molecule: transfer RNA, 68 nt
Filed under: Paridea biplagiata
Lineage: Eukaryota; Metazoa; Arthropoda; Insecta; Coleoptera; Chrysomelidae
Description: tRNA-Trp
Source: RNAcentral